Molecule: small RNA, 116 nt
Filed under: Flavobacterium resistens
Lineage: Bacteria; Pseudomonadati; Bacteroidota; Flavobacteriia; Flavobacteriales; Flavobacteriaceae
Description: Flavo-1 RNA
Rfam family: Flavo-1 RNA
Source: RNAcentral
CAUUUGCCCCGAAGCGCGUUAGUGAUGGGAGCGGCAUCCUUUUGCGGGAAACCGCCAGCUGCUCUAUUUCCAUGGAACUACUCCCGCAAAAGAUACAGCGGACAGCACGGCCCGGA